Molecule: ribosomal RNA, 465 nt
Filed under: uncultured bacterium
Lineage: Bacteria
Description: partial 16S ribosomal RNA
Rfam family: Bacterial small subunit ribosomal RNA
Source: RNAcentral
CCUACGGGUGGCAGCAGUGGGGAAUAUUGCGCAAUGGGCGAAAGCCUGACGCAGCGACGCCGCGUGCGGGAUGAAGGUCCUCGGAUUGUAAACCUCUGUUUGCAGGGAAGAACGGUCCCUGUGCUAAUCAGCCGUGAAUUGACGGUACCUGCAAAGGAAGCACCGGCUAAUUCCGUGCACGCAGCCGCGGUAAUACGGAGGGUGCGUGCGGUGAUCGGAAUUACUGGGCGUAAAGCGCUCGUAGGUGGUAUGUAAAGUCAAGGGUGAAAUGCCGUAGCUCAACGUGGGUACUGCCUUGGAAACUGGCAAGCUGGAGUGUGUGAGAGGAUUGUGGAAUUCGGGGUGUAGGAGUGAAAUGCUUAGAUAUCAGGAAGAACUUCAAUUGCGAAGGCAACAAUCUGGCACACAACUGACGCUGAAGAUCGAAGGCGUGGGUAUCGAACAGGAUUAGAUACCCUAGUAGUC